UACGUAGGGGGCAAGCGUUGUCCGGAUUUAUUGGGCGUAAAGAGCGUGUAGGCGGCUUUGCAAGUCCGUUGUGAAAACUCGAGGCUCAACCCUCGAAUGCCGGUGGAUACUGUCGGGCUAGAGUGCGGAAGAGGCGAGUGGAAUUCCUGGUGUAGCGGUGAAAUGCGCAGAUAUCAGGAGGAACACCAAUUGCGAAGGCAGCUCGCUGGGACGUAACUGACGCUGAGACGCGAAAGCGUGGGGAGCAAUCAGG
This 253-nucleotide ribosomal RNA is filed under the name uncultured bacterium. Its description in RNAcentral is "partial 16S ribosomal RNA". It matches the Rfam family "Bacterial small subunit ribosomal RNA", at positions 524 to 776 of the family's 1533-position model. The record is from RNAcentral.